GAUGAACGCUGGCGGUAUGCCUAACACAUGCAAGUCGUACGAGAGUUUUUAACUCUAGUGGCGGACGGGUGAGUAACACGUGAGAAUUUGCCUUUAGGAGGGGGACAACAAUCGGAAACGAAUGCUAAUACCCCAUAUGCUUUCGAGUGAAAUGGAUUUUAUCUGCCUAGAGAGAAGCUCGCGGCUGAUUAGCUUGUUGGUAAGGUAAGAGCUUACCAAGGCGACGAUCAGUAUCUGGUUUGAGAGGACGAUCAGACACACUGGAACUGAGACACGGUCCAGACUCCUACGGGAGGCAGCAGUGGGGAAUUUUCCGCAAUGGGCGAAAGCCUGACGGAGCAAUACCGCGUGAGGGAAGAAUGCCUAUGGGUUGUAAACCGUCUUUUUCAGGGUAGGAAUAAAAUAGACGUGUACCUGAAGAAUAAGCAUCGGCUAACUCCGUG
RNAcentral lists this ribosomal RNA (443 nucleotides) under uncultured bacterium. Its description in RNAcentral is "bacterial SSU rRNA". It matches the Rfam family "Bacterial small subunit ribosomal RNA", at positions 28 to 507 of the family's 1533-position model. The record is from RNAcentral.